RNAcentral lists this ribosomal RNA (1356 nucleotides) under metagenome. Its description in RNAcentral is "bacterial LSU rRNA". It matches the Rfam family "Bacterial large subunit ribosomal RNA", at positions 1551 to 2925 of the family's 2925-position model. The record is from RNAcentral.
CAAUGCUAGGAUGUGAUGGGGAAGCCCUUCGGGGCGAAGUAGCUGAUUUCACACUGUCAAGAAAAGCUUCUAUCGAGUUUAAAGGCGCCCGUACCGUAAACCGACACAGGUGGGUGAGGAGAGUAUCCUAAGGCCAGCGAGAGAACUAUUGUUAAGGAACUCGGCAAAAUGACCCCGUAACUUAGGGAGAAGGGGUGCCUGUCUAUGACAGGCCGCAGAGAAUAGGCCCAAGCGACUGUUUACCAAAAACACAGGUUUCUGCUAAGUCGCAAGACGAUGUAUAGGAGCUGACGCCUGCCCGGUGCUGGAAGGUUAAGGGGAUCUGUUAGAGCAAUCGAAGCAGUGAACUUAAGCCCCAGUAAACGGCGGCCGUAACAAUAACGGUCCUAAGGUAGCGAAAUUCCUUGUCGGGUAAGUUCCGACCCGCACGAAAGGCGUAACGAUUUGGGCACUGUCUCAACAAUAGACUCGGUGAAAUUGUAAUCCCGGUGAAGAUGCCGGGUACCUGCGACAGGACGGAAAGACCCCAUGGAGCUUUACUGUAGCUUGACGUUGGGUCUUGGUACUACAUGUACAGGAUAGGUGGGAGACUAUGAAGCAUGGACGCCAGUCUGUGUGGAGUCAUCCUUGGGAUACCACCCUUGUAGUACUGGGAUCCUAACCAUAGGCCUUGAAUCAGGUCUUGGAACACCGUCAGGUGGGCAGUUUGACUGGGGCGGUCGCCUCCUAAAAAGUAACGGAGGCGCUCAAAGGUUUCCUCAGCACGGUCGGAAAUCGUGCGAAGAGUGUAAAGGCAAAAGGUAGCUUGAUUGCAAGACAUACAGGUCGAGCAAGGACGAAAGUCGGACUUAGUGAUCCGGUGGUACCGCAUGGAAGGGCCAUCGCUCAACGGAUAAAAGCUACCCUGGGGAUAACAGGCUUAUCUCCCCCAAGAGUCCACAUCGACGGGGAGGUUUGGCACCUCGAUGUCGGCUCAUCACAUCCUGGGGCUGUAGUAGGUCCCAAGGGUUGGGCUGUUCGCCCAUUAAAGUGGUACGCGAGCUGGGUUCAGAACGUCGUGAGACAGUUCGGUCCCUAUCCGUCGCAGGCGUAGGAAAUUUGAGAAGACCUGUCCUUAGUACGAGAGGACCGGGAUGGACGUACCUCUGGUGUACCAGUUGUUCUGCCAAGGGCAUGGCUGGGUAGCUAUGUACGGAAUGGAUAAGCGCUGAAAGCAUCUAAGCGCGAAGCCAGCUUCAAGAUAAGAUUUCCCACCGUAAGGGUAAGACCCCAGGAAGACUACCUGGUUGAUAGGUCGAAGGUGUAAGUGCAGUAAUGUAUUUAGCUUAUCGAUACUAAUAGGUCGAGGACUUGACC